RNAcentral lists this unclassified non-coding RNA (417 nucleotides) under uncultured Bordetella sp. RNAcentral describes it as "partial 16S-23S ribosomal RNA intergenic spacer". It matches the Rfam family "Bacterial small subunit ribosomal RNA", at positions 10 to 439 of the family's 1533-position model. Lineage: Bacteria; Pseudomonadati; Pseudomonadota; Betaproteobacteria; Burkholderiales; Alcaligenaceae. The record is from RNAcentral.
AGUUCGGUCUGGCUCAGAUUGAACGCUGGCGGGAUGCUUUACACAUGCAAGUCGAACGGCAGCCACGGACUUCGGUCUGGUGGCGAGUGGCCGAACGGGUGAGUAAUGUAUCCGGAACGUGCCUAGUAGCGGGGAUAACUACGCGAAGCGUAGCUAAUACCGCAUACGCCCUUCGGGGGAAAGCAGGGGACCUUCGGGCCUCGCACUAUUAAGCCCGGCCGAUAUCGGAUUAGCCCGUUGGUGGGGUAACGACUCCGCAAGGCGACGAUCCGUAGCUGGUUUGAGAGGACGACCAACCACGCUGGGACUGGUUGGCGGAACUCUGCAGGAGGCAGCAGUGGGGAAUUUUGGACAAUGGGGAAACCUGAUCCAGCCAUCCCGCGUGUGCGUGAAGGUAUGGGUUGUAAACACUUUUGG